ACUGUUAGCAGUAGAGCUGACUCUAUGGGUAGUAACUGUUAGCUUUAGAGCUGACUCUAUGGGUAGUACUGUUAGCCUUAGAGCUGACUCUAUGGGUAGUAACUGUUAGCCUUAGAACUGACUCUAUGGGUAGUAACUGUUAGCCUUAGAGCUGACUCUAUGGGUAGUAACUGUUAGCCUUAGAGCUGACUCUAUGGGUAGUAACUGUUAGCUGUAGAGCUGACUCUAUGGGUAGUAACUGUUAGCUGUAGAGCUGACUCUAUGGGUAGUAACUGUUAGCUGUAGAGCUGACUCUAUGGGUAGUAACUGUUAGCCGUAGAGCUGACUCUAUGGGUAGUAACUGUUAGCUGUAGAGCUGACUCUAUGGGUAGUAACUGUUAGCUGUAGAGCUGACUCAAUGGGUAGUAACUGUUAGCCUUAGAGCUGACUCUAUGGGUAGUAACUGUUAGCUGUAGAGCUGACUCUAUGGGUAGUAACUGUUAGCCUGACUCUAUGGGUAGUAACUGUUAGCCUUAGAGCUGACUCUAUGGGUAUAACUGUUAGCUGUAGAGCUGACUCUAUGGGUAGUAACUGUUAGCCUUAGAGCUGACUCUAUGGGUAGUAACUGUUAGCUGUAGAGCUGACUCUAUGGGUAGUAACUGUUAGCUGUAGAGCUGACUCUAUGGG
This is a long non-coding RNA of Oncorhynchus tshawytscha (Chinook salmon), 666 nucleotides long. The record is from Ensembl. Lineage: Eukaryota; Metazoa; Chordata; Actinopteri; Salmoniformes; Salmonidae.